RNAcentral lists this transfer RNA (76 nucleotides) under Dulcicalothrix desertica PCC 7102. RNAcentral describes it as "Calothrix desertica PCC 7102 tRNA-Arg". It matches the Rfam family "tRNA". Rfam says of the family: Transfer RNA (tRNA) molecules are approximately 80 nucleotides in length. Their secondary structure includes four short double-helical elements and three loops (D, anti-codon, and T loops). The record is from RNAcentral. Lineage: Bacteria; Bacillati; Cyanobacteriota; Cyanophyceae; Nostocales; Calotrichaceae.
UGGGCGUGUAACUCAGGUGGAUAGAGUAAUUGCCUUCUAAGCAAUCUGCCGCAGGUUCGAGUCCUGCCACGCUCAU